RNAcentral lists this ribosomal RNA (253 nucleotides) under uncultured bacterium. RNAcentral describes it as "partial 16S ribosomal RNA". It matches the Rfam family "Bacterial small subunit ribosomal RNA", at positions 524 to 776 of the family's 1533-position model. The record is from RNAcentral.
UACAGAGGGGGCAAGCGUUGUUCGGAAUUACUGGGCGUAAAGGGCGCGUAGGCGGCCUUCUAAGUCGAACGUGAAAUCCCUGGGCUCAACCCAGGAACUGCGUCCGAUACUGGAAGGCUUGAAUCCGGGAGAGGGAUGCGGAAUUCCGGGUGUAGCAGUGAAAUGCGUAGAGAUCGGGAGGAACAUCAGUUGCGAAGGCGGCUCUCUGGACCAGCACUGACACUGAGGCACGAAAGCGUGGGGAGCAAACAGG